AGAGCACGGCCAUCUGAGACAUCCAAGCGGGCUCUCUGGUAUGGUGUUAUGGACCCUCCUGACCUACAACUGACUCUUGCUACAUCUUCCAGAUUUUUCAAUCUGACGUUUAUUGACAAUCACAUCCUUUUUGACUUGGACACUGACUUUUCUCAGAUACUCAGAAAUAAGCUAGCAAGCCCAGUGCUUAGCAAAGGCCUCAUAAACUGAAUCAAAAUGAAACUGUUUCACUUGCUUGGCAUGCUUCUGAGUGAAAAUAACCUUCAUGCAAUUGUAAAUAACUUUAAAUCCAUCGCAAGUCAUUUAGUGGGUCAUGUUACUUUACAUGAGUCCUGCUCCCUCGACACUUUCAUCAACUGCUAGGUGUGCAAUCUUCACAGAGCUUGGAAAGUUUCUUUUAAACAAAUAAUAGGAUGUUACAGUUAAAAAGUUCCAAGGUCCCCAGAAGCAUUCUCUCCUGACAUUUCAUCCAUAUCUAUGGCAGGCAUCCUUAGAGGUGGUUAGGUCUGUUGGAAACCAGACAAAUGGGAUUUAUAUAUCUGUGGAAUGUCCAAGGUGGGAGAAAGGACUCUUGUCUGUUUGACCAAAAGCAGCGCCCAAACAUGAAUCAAAGAACAUGAAAGGCAUUGCAGAGUAACUCAACCAGAGAAGUCAUCCAUAGCAGAGCACUUGAACCAACAUGGACACAGUAUAUUAUUUGAGAACACAGAAAUGCUGGACCACUUUAACAACCAUCAUGUCAGACUACAUAGAGAGGCCAUUGAAAUCCACAAGCAUGUGGACAAUUUCAACAGAAAGGAGGAAACCAUGAAAAUGAAGAAAACCUGGCUCCCAGUAUUAAAAAACUCUAACAUCAGAACACUAAAUAAAGAACAACACUCUGAAAACAGGGGAAUUCCAGACAGGAAACAAUCAGGGCCUGCUAACAUCUAUCAACAAAGGUUUGCCCCAUUCCUGUGUGGAAUUCCCCUGUUUAUUUACUGUCCUGGUUUUAGAGAUUAUAUUGUUCUGACCGCAAUAAUAAUAAUAAUAAUAAUGAUAGUAAUAAUAAUGACUUUGGUAAUACACAGUGCUUCACUCCCUUCUCAGCUUCCUUUCUGGAAGAAUCCUUUCUUGGGAGGUGUUAGCUGGCCCUGAUUGUUUCCUUUGUGGAAUUUCCAAUUUCCCUGCUUUUAGACUGUUGGUCUUUAUUUACUGUUCUGGUUUUAGAGAUUAUAUUGUUCUGCGUUAUUCUAUCCCAGUAAUUAUUUCAUAUUAAAGUAGAAUCUCACUUAUCCAACCUUCGCCUAUACAAUGUUCUGGAUUAUCCAACGCAGUCUUCCUUUUAGUAGUCAAUGUUUUUGUAGUCAGUGUUUUAAAUUCAUUGUGAUAUUUUAGUGGUAAAUUUGUAAAUACAGUACAGUAGAGUCUCACUUAUCCAACAUAAACGGGCCAGCAGAAUGCUGGAUAAGCGAAUAUGUUGGAUAAUAAGGAGUGAUUAAGGAAAAGCCUAUUAAACAUCAAAUUAGGUUAUGCUUUUACAAAUGAAGCACCAAAACAUCAUGUUAGACAACAAAUUUGACAGAAAAAGUAGUUCAAUACGCAGUAAUGCUAUGUAGUAAUUACUGUAUUUAUGAAUUUAACACCAAAAUAUCACGAUAUAUUGAAAACAUUGACUACAAAAAUGCAUUGGAUAAUCCAGAACAUUGGAUAAGCGAGUGUUGGAUAAGUGAGACUCUACUGUAAUUACUACAUAACAUUACUGCGUGUGGAACUACCUUUUCUGUCAAAUUUGUUGUAUAAUAUGAUGUUUUGGUGCUUAAUUUGUAUAACGAUGACCUAAUUUGAUGUUUAAUCGGCUUUUCCUGAAUCCCUUCUUAUUAUCCAACAUAUUCACGUAUCCUGCCGGCCUGUUUAUGUUGGAUAAGUGAGACUCUACUGUAUAUUGAUAAUCUUAAAUUAUCUGCUUAGAACUGGAUUAUAUGAGGCCCCUUCUUCACAGCUGUAUAAAAUGCACACUGAAGUGGAUUAUAUGGCAGUGUGGAGUCAAGAUAAUCCAGUGCAAAGCAGAUAAUAUAAGAUUAUAAAUGGGUUAUAUAGCUGUGUAGAAGGGCCUUGAAUCUACACUGCUAUAUAAUCCAGUGCAAAUUAGAUAAUCUGUGGAAGAAGCCUAAGUGAGGCCUAAAUCUGCCUGUCCCCUAACUGAAUCCUGGCUGUCCUUUGGCUGAAUUGGUUGCUAGGCGACCAAGUGGGUAGAGAUUAGCCCUCUAAACUGGCAGCAAUUGGAUAAAAACAAUUAUUGCUCUCCCUCUAAUUAGGACUUUAUUUUUCUUUUCUUUUUGUUGUAUCAACCCUGAGGCGUGGGUGAUGGGUUGUGUUGUCAAAUUUCGAGGUUGGGGGGCCUGUACUUUUGUUGUUUUGUGGGUCGCCGUGAUGCCAUCACUCUUUUAUAUAUAUAGAUCUUUCUCAUUCUAGUUAAAUGGAGCAUUUUCUCAGAGAUA
RNAcentral lists this long non-coding RNA (2480 nucleotides) under Anolis carolinensis (green anole). Its description in RNAcentral is "lncRNA (ENSACAG00000037315.1)". Lineage: Eukaryota; Metazoa; Chordata; Lepidosauria; Squamata; Anolidae. The record is from RNAcentral.